RNAcentral lists this non-coding RNA (43 nucleotides) under Trypanosoma brucei brucei. The record is from RNAcentral. Lineage: Eukaryota; Euglenozoa; Kinetoplastea; Trypanosomatida; Trypanosomatidae.
AACGCAACAUUCGAAUGAGAUUAUGUAGAUGAAAUAUGGUAUU